RNAcentral lists this transfer RNA (79 nucleotides) under Vespa affinis (lesser banded hornet). RNAcentral's name for it is "tRNA-Ala". Lineage: Eukaryota; Metazoa; Arthropoda; Insecta; Hymenoptera; Vespidae. The record is from RNAcentral.
AGGGUAUUAGUUAAAAAAUAACAUUUAUUUUGCAAAUAAAAAUUAUUUUAUCUAAAAUUAUACCUUUAAUAUGAAAGGA